UACAGAGGUCUCAAGCGUUGUUCGGAUUCAUUGGGCGUAAAGGGUGCGUAGGUGGCGCAGUAAGUCGGGUGUGAAAUUUCGGAGCUUAACUCCGAAACUGCAUUCGAUACUGCGGUGCUUGAGGACUGGAGAGGAGACUGGAAUUCCUGGUGUAGCAGUGAAAUGCGUAGAUAUCAGGAGGAAUACCGAUGGCGAAGGCAGGUCUCUGGGCUGACACUGACGCUCAUGCACGAAAGCGUGGGUAGCAAACAGG
RNAcentral lists this ribosomal RNA (253 nucleotides) under uncultured bacterium. RNAcentral describes it as "partial 16S ribosomal RNA". It matches the Rfam family "Bacterial small subunit ribosomal RNA", at positions 524 to 776 of the family's 1533-position model. The record is from RNAcentral.